This 134-nucleotide small nucleolar RNA is filed under the name Jaculus jaculus (lesser Egyptian jerboa). RNAcentral's name for it is "Small nucleolar RNA SNORD22 (ENSJJAG00000009453.1)". It matches the Rfam family "Small nucleolar RNA SNORD22". Rfam says of the family: U22 is a member of the C/D class of snoRNA which contain the C (UGAUGA) and D (CUGA) box motifs. U22 is encoded within the U22 snoRNA host gene (UHG) in mammals and has also been identified in Xenopus. U22 is thought to as a 2'-O-ribose methylation guide for ribosomal RNA. The record is from Rfam by way of RNAcentral. Lineage: Eukaryota; Metazoa; Chordata; Mammalia; Rodentia; Dipodidae.
UCCAAAUGAAUAAACAUUCAUAUGUCUUAAUAUCUUACUUCAUAUACUUGCCUCAGAGCCCCCAAAUAUGAACCAAUUAAGGGUGGCUCUGGGAUAAGAGGAAAAUAAAUUACAGAAUGAACUGUCUGAGAGAC